RNAcentral lists this small nucleolar RNA (96 nucleotides) under Moelleriella libera RCEF 2490. Its description in RNAcentral is "Aschersonia aleyrodis RCEF 2490 A. fumigatus snoRNA Afu_335". It matches the Rfam family "A. fumigatus snoRNA Afu_335". The record is from Rfam by way of RNAcentral. Lineage: Eukaryota; Fungi; Ascomycota; Sordariomycetes; Hypocreales; Clavicipitaceae.
CGCAAUGAUGAACCCCACGAUAGGGACAGCAUAUUACUUCGGUAAAUGAUGAGAUCCUGGGCGAAAAUUUUUAGUAGAUGCUUCGACUGUCUGAGC